Molecule: microRNA precursor, 61 nt
Filed under: Pristionchus pacificus
Lineage: Eukaryota; Metazoa; Nematoda; Chromadorea; Rhabditida; Neodiplogasteridae
Description: mir-8364 microRNA precursor family
Rfam family: mir-8364 microRNA precursor family
Source: Rfam by way of RNAcentral
UCUUCAUUUUGCACACUCUCUCACCUGUCCGAGAAGCAAGAGAGUGUGUGAAGUGAAGAGA